RNAcentral lists this long non-coding RNA (1062 nucleotides) under Fukomys damarensis (Damara mole-rat). RNAcentral describes it as "lncRNA (ENSFDAG00000024966.1)". Lineage: Eukaryota; Metazoa; Chordata; Mammalia; Rodentia; Bathyergidae. The record is from RNAcentral.
CAGGCUUCAAAAAGGAUGGGAGAAAGAGGUGGUGGCUUGUGGAAUAGGGACUGAUGGAGUUUGCUUCCUGUAUGUGCUAGGAGCAGCCUGUCCAUGGUCACCAAUGAGAAAGUGAGGUGGUGUCAAGAUAAAAGAUGAGAAGGAGCAUAAUUGACAGAGGUGAGGAAGGAAAUCAAGAGCAUCUGUGGAUGGAACUGGCCUUAAAUAUGAAUCCUCUUCCCCGCAACGGUGCUCCUCUCCUGCACCUCAGUGAGAUUGUUUGACUUUUCUUGAACCUUGAAGCCCAGUCAUAAAGAGGAGGUCGCUGCUCUUUUGUUAUUCCUGCAAUAACAGUGUGCGUGUAACCUAAAGCUGUCACCGAACAUAAGAAAAAGAAGAAACAGCCACUUCAGUCAUGAUUUGAUCUGUGUUCCCAGCUCUGAUUUUAUCAAGUAUGACAGCCUAAUUAUAAGGCUUCCUACACAAGUUAUUUAGGCAAGCAAGAUCAUCUUGUCCUGAUGUAGGUCUCCUGUGUUGUAAUGCAGCUCUUCCCUGCUGGAUUCAGAGAAUGUGUUUAUGUGGGACUAAUCUUUCUAGGGAUUCUGGGCAAUUUCACCCUCAAAGCUUCUAAAGUUUUCUGAGAUAAUCUACUUACCUGACAACUCCAGAGGCCACGAAUGGCAUAUGGAGGAGGAAUUCUAAAGACGCUGGACGUUGAGUUGAUGCUUCUUAUAAAAAACAGUACUAACUAUAUGCAAAACUGACACAUGAUUGGAGAGGGGCACUUAGGGUUGACAAAAGUUUACAUGAGACAUUCUAGCUGGUGGAGGCAGAAAGCUUAGUUAACUGCGAGCUGCAGUUGAGCCAGCAGUGUGAUUGAGUUGGGGUUGCCUUAAGAGAGACUAGACUGGGCUGCGGUUUUGUGUUUGUCCUUCUGUAAAGCUCGUUGGAGAUUAGCAGUCAUCUACUUGGGCUGUUGUAGGGAAUUUUUCUGGCAUCAAAAUAGAGAAGAAUAAGAUGAAAUGAUCCCUGAGGUCCCUUACACCUAUACAUUCGGAUGUUGCUGUGUUUUUUAAAAUUUCC